GUGCUGGUCAAUCCCAGCGCCAGGCUUGGCGGCCUGUUAGACUCAAGGCGGAUUGCCGCCAUAUGCGGCAUUUUU
RNAcentral lists this small RNA (75 nucleotides) under Chromobacterium violaceum ATCC 12472. Its description in RNAcentral is "isrK Hfq binding RNA". It matches the Rfam family "isrK Hfq binding RNA". The record is from Rfam by way of RNAcentral. Lineage: Bacteria; Pseudomonadati; Pseudomonadota; Betaproteobacteria; Neisseriales; Chromobacteriaceae.